AGGCUUGGUCCUGACUUUACUAUCAGCUUUAGCCCAACUUAUACAUGCAAGUAUCCGCAGCCCUGUGAGAAUGCCCUCAAUCCCCCGCCCGGGGACGAGGAGCAGGCAUCAGGCACCUACACAUUAGCCCAAGACGCCUUGCUACGCCACACCCCCAAGGGAACUCAGCAGUAAUAAACAUUAAGCUAUAAGUGAAAACUUGACUUAGUUAGCGCUAAGAGGGUCGGUAAAAUUCGUGCCAGCCACCGCGGUUAUACGAAAGACCCUAGUUGAUAGCCACGGCGUAAAGGGUGGUUAAGGUAAUUAAUAAAUAAAGCUAAAGAGCCUCUAAGCCGUCGCACGCAUUCCGAGAGCUCGAAGCCCAAACACGAAAGUAGCUUUAAAAUAAAAUACACCUGACCCCACGAAAGCUAAGAAACAAACUGGGAUUAGAUACCCCACUAUGCUUAGCCUUAAACCAAGAUGUACAUUUACAUACGCAUCCGCCCGGGUACUACGAGCAUAGCUUAAAACCC
Molecule: ribosomal RNA, 515 nt
Filed under: Pseudoplatystoma corruscans (spotted shovelnose)
Lineage: Eukaryota; Metazoa; Chordata; Actinopteri; Siluriformes; Pimelodidae
Description: 12S ribosomal RNA
Rfam family: Bacterial small subunit ribosomal RNA
Source: RNAcentral